This 440-nucleotide ribosomal RNA is filed under the name uncultured bacterium. Its description in RNAcentral is "bacterial SSU rRNA". It matches the Rfam family "Bacterial small subunit ribosomal RNA", at positions 954 to 1392 of the family's 1533-position model. The record is from RNAcentral.
GCUAAACGCGAAGAACCUUACCAAGGCUUGACAUAUACGAGAACGGGCCAGAAAUGGUCAACUCUUUGGACACUCGUAAACAGGUGGUGCAUGGUUGUCGUCAGCUCGUGUCGUGAGAUGUUCGGUUAAGUCCGGCAACGAGCGCAACCCUCGUCCUAUGUUGCCAGCACGUAAUGGUGGGAACUCAUGGGAUACUGCCGUGGUCAACACGGAGGAAGGUGGGGAUGACGUCAAAUCAUCAUGCCCCUUAUGUCUUGGGCUUCACGCAUGCUACAAUGGCCGGUACAAAGGGCUGCGAGACCGCAAGGUUUAGCGAAUACCCAAAAAGCCGGUCUCAGUUCGGAUUGGGGUCUGCAACUCGACCCCAUGAAGUCGGAGUUGCUAGUAAUCGUAGAUCAGCAACGCUACGGUGAAUACGUUCCCGGGUCUUGUACACACCG